GGAAAGCAAUCGUGUCCGGUGGCACGGCUGGGCUUCAAACCCAGUUGGGGGCGUCAGACGUUCCUGGGUAGGUUCGACUCCUGCUGCUUUCCGCCA
Molecule: transfer RNA, 96 nt
Filed under: Alcaligenes endophyticus
Lineage: Bacteria; Pseudomonadati; Pseudomonadota; Betaproteobacteria; Burkholderiales; Alcaligenaceae
Description: tRNA-Sec
Rfam family: Selenocysteine transfer RNA
Source: RNAcentral